Molecule: ribosomal RNA, 465 nt
Filed under: uncultured bacterium
Lineage: Bacteria
Description: partial 16S ribosomal RNA
Rfam family: Bacterial small subunit ribosomal RNA
Source: RNAcentral
CCUACGGGAGGCUGCAGUAGGGAAUCUUCCACAAUGGGCGAAAGCCUGAUGGAGCAACGCCGCGUGGGUGAAGAAGGUCUUCUGAUCGUAAAACCCUGUUGUUAGAGGAGAAAGUGCGUGAGAGUAACCGUUCACGUUUCGACGGUAUCUAACCAGAACGCCACGGCUAACUACGUGCCAGCAGCCGCGGUAAUACGUAGGUAGCAAGCGUUAACCGGAUUUAUUGGGCGUAAAGGGAGCGCAGGCGGUCUUUUAAGUCUGAUGUGAAAGCCUUCGGCUUAACCGGAGUAGUGCAUUGGAAACUGGGAGACUGGAGUGCAGAAGAGGAAAGUGGAAUUCGAGGUGUAGCGGUGAAAUGCGUAGAUAUCUGGAAGAACACCAGUGGCGAAGGCGGCUCUCUGGACUGUAACUGACGCUGAGGUUCGAAAGCGUGGGUAGCAAACAGGAUUAGAUACCCGAGUAGUC